CGGGUGAGUAACGCGUGAGUAACCUGCCUUACACAAGGGGAUAGCCUUUGGAAACGAAGAAUAAUACCCUAUAAAACCAUAAAAGCACAUGCUAGAAUGGUCAAAGUGAUAGCGGUGUAAGAUGGACUUGCGUCUGAUUAGCUAGUUGGUGAGAUAAAAGCUCACCAAGGCAACGAUCAGUAGCCGGCUUGAGAAGGUGACCGGCCACAUUGGGACUGAGAUACGGCCCAG
Molecule: ribosomal RNA, 231 nt
Filed under: uncultured Eubacteriales bacterium
Lineage: Bacteria; Bacillati; Bacillota; Clostridia; Eubacteriales
Description: uncultured Clostridiales bacterium partial 16S ribosomal RNA
Rfam family: Bacterial small subunit ribosomal RNA
Source: RNAcentral